UACGGGGGGGGCAAGCGUGGUUCGGAAUUACUGGGCGUAAAGGGCUCGUAGGUGGCCAACUAAGUCAGACGUGAAAUCCCUCAGCUUAACUGGGGAACUGCGUCUGAUACUGGAUGGCUUGAGUUUGGGAGAGGGAUGCGGAAUUCCAGGUGUAGCGGUGAAAUGCGUAGAUAUCUGGAGGAACACCGGUGGCGAAGGCGGCAUCCUGGACCAACACUGACACUGAGGAGCGAAAGCCAGGGGAGCAAACGGG
Molecule: ribosomal RNA, 253 nt
Filed under: uncultured bacterium
Lineage: Bacteria
Description: partial 16S ribosomal RNA
Rfam family: Bacterial small subunit ribosomal RNA
Source: RNAcentral